GUGCCAGCAGCCGCGGUAAUACGUAGGUGGCAAGCGUUAUCCGGAAUUAUUGGGCGUAAGGCGCGCGUAGGCGGUUUUUUAAGUCUGAUGUGAAAGCCCACGGCUCAACCGUGGAGGGUCAUUGGAAACUGGAAAACUUGAGUGCAGAAGAGGAAAGUGGAAUUCCAUGUGUAGCGGUGAAAUGCGCAGAGAUAUGGAGGAACACCAGUGGCGAAGGCGACUUUCUGGUCUGUAACUGACGCUGAUGUGCGAAAGCGUGGGGAUCAAACAGGAUUAGA
This 278-nucleotide ribosomal RNA is filed under the name uncultured Staphylococcus sp. Its description in RNAcentral is "partial 16S ribosomal RNA". It matches the Rfam family "Bacterial small subunit ribosomal RNA", at positions 505 to 782 of the family's 1533-position model. Lineage: Bacteria; Bacillati; Bacillota; Bacilli; Caryophanales; Staphylococcaceae. The record is from RNAcentral.